This 1033-nucleotide long non-coding RNA is filed under the name Coturnix japonica (Japanese quail). Its description in RNAcentral is "lncRNA (ENSCJPG00005001851.1)". Lineage: Eukaryota; Metazoa; Chordata; Aves; Galliformes; Phasianidae. The record is from RNAcentral.
UAGAAAACCACGGACCCGAAAUUAAAUAGAGCCCCCCCCCGCACCCCUCCCUCUCUCUGCACCGCACCGGGUGCGCCCCACGCGCCUCUCGGGGCUCCGGUUACACCGCCGUCAAUGCCGGAUGGCCGCGAUAGGGUGCGGGAUCGCUGGGCUCGGGGAUUUUUUUUUUUAAUAGGGUUAAUGCAAUAUUAAUUGCUGGGAGCUGCUAUAAGAACGCGCCGCGUUUUCCCAGGAACAAAUCGAUGGAGCGCUGCGCUGCGCAGCGGGAGGAGGCGGAGGCGCGGCCCCAGGGCCGCCCGGCAAUGGCAGACGUGACUAAGUGUGAAAAGAAGACUGAGCUCCUGACCCAGGAUUCAGCCAUGACAAAACAGAAACAAAAGUGUGGGAGAGACUUCGUCUAGAAAUAGGUGAUCACUAUGCAGGGAUGCAAAAGAACAGUCAAAGAUGGCAGAACCACUUUAAGCUACAAAACAAACUUACUUGGCUCACAGAACGCUUAUGAUGCAUGUUAUGAUAUAUGAUGCAUGUUAUAUGAUGCUUAUAUUUGCAUAUUAAAGGUGUUGAAGGUAACUAAGGUAGAAAUUCAGAAUCCCUCAAUACAAACACCUGGUCUGUGAUGGGAAGGCUAAAUUUGUGAGGGGGAAUGUGGAAUGCAGGGCAGCCUGCAGCAGGCCCAGUCCCUCUCCACCCUGCCAUGGGUGCAUGCAGCCAACUCCGGGCUGCUACAGCUGUGCCAGCGUUCUGAGAGAUGUCUGAUGUAUGGCUGAACCUUGAGGGCUGUCACCUGGGGUGUGGAAGCCCACUUUGGUCCUGACAGGCUCAUUGUAUGCAGCUCAGGAGCCUCCCAUUGGUUUCACUGAUCUCCCCGCUGAUGAAGACCACGAUACAUUUCCAGCAUCCUUUUCCUUUGAAAAAAAAUAGUCAACUCAGCUCCCACUCCCAGUCCUGAAGAUAUUUCACUCCUGUCUAAUAUUAAGAAAUGUGCAGCAGGGACUGCAGAAAUGAAUCACACCAUUUGAUGGUGAGAUUAAAC